Molecule: long non-coding RNA, 686 nt
Filed under: Homo sapiens (human)
Lineage: Eukaryota; Metazoa; Chordata; Mammalia; Primates; Hominidae
Description: uncharacterized LOC105376384, transcript variant 1 (LOC105376384)
Source: RNAcentral
AGGAAAGACAGAGCAUGGCUGCUGGGCAGCCAGGUCAACCGGACGGCAAGGCAGGGGUUGGCCGGGGAAGCACUGCGCCGCCCCUGCAUGCCCUGCAUCCUCGGGUCCUGGGAGGGCUGCUCAGUAACUGGAAGGAAAAUGAAACUGAAAAAGAGCAAGGGUCCCGUAGGAUUGAACACAGUUGGUGAAACUUGGGCCGUCUGCCUCAAGUCCCCGCUUGGCAAAACCACUCCCUCCUGGUGGACGCCCUCACCAUGAAGAGUUAUAGUAAGGUGUUGGUGAGGCUGGCUGCUCUGGUUGCUAAGAGAGACCCGGCCUGCCACACUCCUAAGAGACACAGAAGACCAGCCUACCCUUCCCUUGCCUCCCGUGACACUGCCCUGCAGGUGGCUGGCCAAGAGAAGCCUGCCCGGCGACGCUGAGGCACCGAACAUGAGCAGGGGAGGAAGGAAUGCCUGGGAGCAGCUGAGCCGAGCCCCUGCCACCAGCCUCCUCCGCACGCCCGUGGAAUCAGCACUUUCUGCUUCCCGCCCCUGAGAGCCUUGCUCUGGGGCCACUCACAGCCAAUUAAGUGGGGAUGUUGUAAGAGACUCUAAAAUACGUGGAGCUGGCUGAGGACGCGGGACCGACCCCAUUAUGUGUGUGUGAGGCUGAUUAAAGUGUUACCUGUCACCAGGUGUCGCCAA